CUGACAUGCGUGCGAGUCGACGGGCGCGAAAACCCGGAGGCGCAAGGAAGCUGACUAGCGGGAACCCCUCGAGGGGCCGCACCGCUGGCCGACCCGAUCUUCUGUGAAGGGUUCGAGUCGGAGCACGCCCGUCGG
RNAcentral lists this non-coding RNA (135 nucleotides) under Ananas comosus (pineapple). RNAcentral's name for it is "Eukaryotic large subunit ribosomal RNA". It matches the Rfam family "Eukaryotic large subunit ribosomal RNA", at positions 675 to 812 of the family's 3401-position model. The record is from Rfam by way of RNAcentral. Lineage: Eukaryota; Viridiplantae; Streptophyta; Magnoliopsida; Poales; Bromeliaceae.